GGUUUCAUAGUGUAGUGGUUAGCACUCCAGACUUUGAAUCUGGCGACCUGGGUUCGAAUCCCGGUGAGACCU
Transfer RNA from Sorghum bicolor (sorghum), 72 nucleotides. It matches the Rfam family "tRNA". From Rfam's summary of the family: Transfer RNA (tRNA) molecules are approximately 80 nucleotides in length. The record is from Rfam. NCBI's taxonomy places the organism in Eukaryota, Viridiplantae, Streptophyta, Magnoliopsida, Poales, Poaceae.